RNAcentral lists this ribosomal RNA (407 nucleotides) under uncultured prokaryote. RNAcentral's name for it is "bacterial SSU rRNA". It matches the Rfam family "Bacterial small subunit ribosomal RNA", at positions 355 to 776 of the family's 1533-position model. RNAcentral also lists the same sequence under 1 other name. The record is from RNAcentral.
UGGGGAAUAUUGCUCAAUGGGGGGAACCCUGAAGCAGCAACGCCGCGUGAGUGAUGAAGGCCUUCGGGUUGUAAAACUCUGUCCUUGGGGAAGAAGAAAAUGACGGUACCCAGGGAGGAAGCCACGGCUAACUACGUGCCAGCAGCCGCGGUAAUACGUAGGUGGCAAGCGUUGUCCGGAAUUACUGGGCGUAAAGGGUGCGUAGGCGGUUGUUCAAGUCAGAUGUGAAAUACCCGGGCUUAACCUGGGGGGUGCAUUUGAAACUGGAUGACUGGAGUGCAGGAGAGGAAAGCGGAAUUCCUGGUGUAGCGGUGGAAUGCGUAGAUAUCAGGAGGAACACCGGUGGCGAAGGCGGCUUUCUGGACUGUAACUGACGCUGAGGCACGAAAGCGUGGGGAGCGAACAGG